This 365-nucleotide transfer RNA is filed under the name uncultured Microcystis sp. RNAcentral's name for it is "partial 16S-23S ribosomal RNA intergenic spacer". The stretch from base 136 to 209 matches the Rfam family "tRNA". Lineage: Bacteria; Bacillati; Cyanobacteriota; Cyanophyceae; Chroococcales; Microcystaceae. The record is from RNAcentral.
AAAGGGAGACCUAAUUCAGGUAAAAGACGAAAAAAAAGUAGUCGCUACCAAGAAUCAAUCCCAAAAGGUCGGAGCGAGGCGAAAUUGGCUUUCAAACUAGGUUCUGGGUUCAAACAAGACCUGAAUCAGGAACAAGGGCUAUUAGCUCAGGUGGUUAGAGCGCACCCCUGAUAAGGGUGAGGUCCCUGGUUCGAGUCCAGGAUGGCCCACCUGUACAGGUGGCAAAAAGAAAGAAAAGAAGCGAGGAAUCAGCACCUUAUCUUAUUUAUAUAGUAAGAGAGAAUGCUGGCUCUGAGUUCAGAGUCCAGAGGAACCUUGAAAACUGCAUAGAGCUAGGUGAAAAAGCCAAAAAAGAAGACCGCAAG